Molecule: long non-coding RNA, 355 nt
Organism: Frieseomelitta varia
Lineage: Eukaryota; Metazoa; Arthropoda; Insecta; Hymenoptera; Apidae
Exons: 4
Source: RefSeq, a predicted model, not a curated record
UUUUAUUUUUCUUUUUCUAUAUUUUUUCUUAUUGUUUCUUAUUCAUUUUCGGUAUAUUAGAGUCAGUGCUCAAGAGCCUCUUCAGGAGAUCAAGAUUAUGCUUCACAUCAGUAUCAAUUUUUUUGUAUUUUCUGGGGAAAAUCCAACGGUGGCUCUAAAGUCAAGAAUAUCUUCUACAGUCUUCACUUCCCCUAAUCCUUCAAGAAUCGUAUGAUGCUUCAAAAGCUAAAAAUAAAUUUUUCACGGCGUUUAUCAUGGAAUUCUCAGUGAUAUCUACUUGAUGAGAGUCUUCACGAUAACUUUCCCUGUUCUAGUGCAGCAUCAUGACAACAUUCUUCGCAUCUAUUGCGUGAGU